RNAcentral lists this ribosomal RNA (301 nucleotides) under uncultured bacterium. RNAcentral's name for it is "partial 16S ribosomal RNA". It matches the Rfam family "Bacterial small subunit ribosomal RNA", at positions 509 to 807 of the family's 1533-position model. The record is from RNAcentral.
CAGUCGCCACGGUAAUACGUAGGGUGCAAGCGUUAAUCGGAAUUACUGGGCGUAAAGCGUGCGCAGGCGGUUAUAUAAGACAGAUGUGAAAUCCCCGGGCUCAACCUGGGAACUGCAUUUGUGACUGUAUAGCUAGAGUACGGUAGAGGGGGAUGGAAUUCCGCGUGUAGCAGUGAAAUGCGUAGAUAUGCGGAGGAACACCGAUGGCGAAGGCAAUCCCCUGGGCCUGUACUGACGCUCAUGCACGAAAGCGUGGGGAGCAAACAGGAUUAGAUACCCGUGUAGUCCCUGUCUCUUAUAC